This 492-nucleotide ribosomal RNA is filed under the name uncultured bacterium. RNAcentral's name for it is "partial 16S ribosomal RNA". It matches the Rfam family "Bacterial small subunit ribosomal RNA", at positions 29 to 507 of the family's 1533-position model. The record is from RNAcentral.
AGUGAACGCUGGCGGUAGGCCUAACACAUGCAAGUCGAACGGCAGCACAGUAAGAGCUUGCUCUUACGGGUGGCGAGUGGCGGACGGGUGAGGAAUACAUCGGAAUCUACUUUUUCGUGGGGGAUAACGUAGGGAAACUUACGCUAAUACCGCAUACGACCUACGGGUGAAAGUAGGGGAUCUUCGGACCUUGCGCGAUUGAAUGAGCCGAUGUCGGAUUAGCUAGUUGGCGGGGUAAAGGCCCACCAAGGCGACGAUCCGUAGCUGGUCUGAGAGGAUGAUCAGCCACACUGGAACUGAGACACGGUCCAGACUCCUACGGGAGGCAGCAGUGGGGAAUAUUGGACAAUGGGCGCAAGCCUGAUCCAGCCAGACCGCGUGGGUGAAGAAGGCCUUCGGGUUGUAAAGCCCUUUUGUUGGGAAAGAAAAGCAGCAGGUUAAUACCCCGCUGUUCUGACGGUACCCAAAGAAUAAGCACCGGCUAACUUCGUG